UACGGAGGGUGCAAGCGUUAUCCGGAAUUACUGGGUUUAAAGGGUGCGUAGGCGGCUUCAUCAGUCAGGGCUGAAAGCCUAUCGCUUAACGAUAGAAUUGCCUUUGAUACUGUAAAGCUUGAAAGGGGUUGAGGUCAGCAGAAUGUGGCAUGUAGCGGUGAAAUGCAUAGAUAUGCCAUAGAUCAUCGAUUGCGAAGGCAGCUGGCUGGGCCUACUUUGACGCUGAGGCACGAAAGCGUGGGGAGCGAACAGG
RNAcentral lists this ribosomal RNA (253 nucleotides) under uncultured bacterium. Its description in RNAcentral is "partial 16S ribosomal RNA". It matches the Rfam family "Bacterial small subunit ribosomal RNA", at positions 524 to 776 of the family's 1533-position model. The record is from RNAcentral.